AGCAGCCGCGGUAAUUCCAGCUCCAAUAGCGUAUAUUAAAGUUGUUGCAGUUAAAAAGCUCGUAGUUGAAACUUGGGCCUGGCUGGCGGGUCCGCCUCACCGCGUGCACUCGUCCGGCCGGGCCUUCCUUCUGAAGAACCUCAUGCCCUUCACUGGGCGUGUUGGGGAAUCAGGACUUUUACUUUGAAAAAAUUAGAGUGUUCAAAGCAGGCCUUUGCUCGAAUACGUUAGCAUGGAAUAAUAAAAUAGGGCGUGCGUUUCUAUUUUGUUGGUUUCUAGAGACGCCGCAAUGAUUAACAGGAACAGUCGGGGGCAUCAGUAUUCAGUUGUCAGAGGUGAAAUUCUUGGAUUUACUGAAGACUAACUACUGCGAAAGCAUUUGCCAAGGAUGUUUUCAUUAAUCAAGAACGAAAGUUAGGGGAUCGAAGACGAUCAGAUACCGUCGUAGUCUUAACCAUAAACUAUGCCGACUAGGGAUCGGAUGAUGUUAAUUUUUUAAUGACUCA
RNAcentral lists this ribosomal RNA (506 nucleotides) under Curvularia spicifera. RNAcentral describes it as "SSU rRNA". It matches the Rfam family "Eukaryotic small subunit ribosomal RNA", at positions 569 to 1078 of the family's 1831-position model. Lineage: Eukaryota; Fungi; Ascomycota; Dothideomycetes; Pleosporales; Pleosporaceae. The record is from RNAcentral.